This 448-nucleotide ribosomal RNA is filed under the name uncultured Leptolinea sp. RNAcentral describes it as "bacterial SSU rRNA". It matches the Rfam family "Bacterial small subunit ribosomal RNA", at positions 920 to 1382 of the family's 1533-position model. The record is from RNAcentral. Lineage: Bacteria; Bacillati; Chloroflexota; Anaerolineae; Anaerolineales; Anaerolineaceae.
CCCGCACAAGCAGCGGAGCGUGUGGUUUAAUUCGAUGUUACACGAAGAACCUUACCAGGGUUUGACAUGCAAGUGGUAGGAAGCCGAAAGGUGACCGACCCUUCGGGAGCUUGCACAGGUGCUGCAUGGCUGUCGUCAGCUCGUGUCGUGAGAUGUUCGGUUAAGUCCGCUAACGAGCGCAACCCUCGCUGUGUGUUAUAUGUGUCACACGGGACUGCCGGUCUUAAGCCGGAGGAAGGUGGGGAUGAUGUCAAGUCAGCAUGGCCUUUAUAUCCUGGGCUACACACACGCUACAAUGGCCAACACAAUAGGUUGCUAAGCCGCGAGGUGGCGCCAAUCCAUAAAGUUGGUCUCAGUUCAGAUUGUAGGCUGCAACCCGCCUGCAUGAAGAUGGAGUUGCUAGUAACCGCAGGUCAGCAAUACUGCGGUGAAUACGUUCCCGGGUCUU